RNAcentral lists this ribosomal RNA (480 nucleotides) under uncultured eukaryote. Its description in RNAcentral is "SSU rRNA". It matches the Rfam family "Eukaryotic small subunit ribosomal RNA", at positions 1160 to 1662 of the family's 1831-position model. The record is from RNAcentral.
AAGGGCACCACCAGGAGUGGAGCCUGCGGCUUAAUUUGACUCAACACGGGGAAACUUACCAGGUCCUGACAUAGUAAGGAUUGACAGAUUGACAGCUCUUUCUUGAUUCUAUGGGUGGUGGUGCAUGGCCGUUCUUAGUUGGUGGAGUGAUUUGUCUGGUUAAUUCCGAUAACGAACGAGACCUUAACCUGCUAACUAGUUCAUUCCAUUACAUGGUUUGCAACUUCUUAGAGGGACUAUGUGUCGAUAAGCACAUGGAAGUUUGAGGCAAUAACAGGUCUGUGAUGCCCUUAUAUGUCCUGGGCUGCACGCGUGCUACACUGAUGCAUACAACAAGUUCCUAGUCUGACAAGGAUCAAACAAUGGCAAUCUUUAAUAUGCAUCGUGAUGGGGAUAGAUCUUUGCAAUUAUGGAUCUUGAACGAGGAAUUCCUAGUAAGUGCAAGUCAUCAUCUUGCAUUGAUUAUGUCCCUGCCCUUUG